RNAcentral lists this long non-coding RNA (2211 nucleotides) under Brassica napus (rape). Its description in RNAcentral is "long non-coding RNA (BNAP_LNC006933)". Lineage: Eukaryota; Viridiplantae; Streptophyta; Magnoliopsida; Brassicales; Brassicaceae. The record is from RNAcentral.
GUGUGAAGCUCAAAGAGAGGCUUCUCAAGAAUUGGAUCUGGAUCGGAUCCGAUGAUCAUAGCUCCGGCUCCAUCACCAAACAAGGCAACACCAACAAGAUCAUACGGUCUAUCAGCACUCGGAGGUUUGAACCCAAUGACGGUCGUCUCAGACGUGGCGAGAAGGACUCUACUCCCCGGAUUAUUCUCAGCUAUGUCUUUGGCUACACGGAGACCCGCAACGCCACCAGAACAGCCAACGAAGUAGAGCAGGACACGGUGUGUCUCGGGGCUGAGACCAAGCCCUUUGGCUAAGAAGAGGUCGCCACUAGGGAGACGAGCUUCGCUUGAAGAUACGUAGACAAGGUGAGUUAUGUCGGAAAUAGAACGGCCCCAGUUCUUGAUGCAGGCUCUAGAAGCCUCCACUGCCAUUUCGGUUACAGCGUCGUUGCAUAUGUCAAGACGCUGCUUCACGGUGGAUCCUCCUUCAAUGGCGAGCUCUGGAUACUUGUUUAGUAUCUCCUCUGACAUGACAACAUACCUUGUCUUCACCGUCGUAGUCUUGCCUGUAUAGUAAUUGAAAGUGUCAAAACAACCUCAGGUUCUCAGAAAAGCUUAUACAAAGUAAACUCAAAAAAAGGGUUGAAGUGAAGACAUUACAGAGACGAGUAAGCUUCUGUUUGAGUUCAGGGUCAUCACAGUUGGUGGUUUUGAAGUAGCCAUCAACCAAAUACUCUUGCAUUACUAGCUGCUGAGGAAAGGCUUUUCCAAUUGCAAGAAUUGUAGCUUUCCCCGGAUUUGGUUUCUUCUCUGAACCCAACUCUGUUGCAUCGAUGCUUCCCAUUUCUAUCUAUCUCUUUUUUUCUUUUCUUGGUCUAUUUAAAAGGGUCAAAGUGAAGGCAUAUAUAUACACUGCAGCUUUUGAAGUAUAUGAUCUGCACCUUGUGUGAUGUUUGUCUAGUUUGAUAUUUGGUGAAGAUUAGGUGUGAGAUUCAGGAGCUUCAUGUUUAUUGCAUUGGCUCUUUCUAAAAAAUAUUAGGCCUUAACUAAAAGUGAUACUAGUUACUAACCAACAGAAGAGUAAGUAAUUUUGGACUUGAAAAGAAUGGCCAGAGAAAGUUUAUUGCUAUUUCAAGCAUAAAUAAAAAAAAGAACAUCAACAAUGCAAUGAAAUAAGAUGAAAGCAAAUCUUGUUAUGUUGAUUGGUAUCAAAAUUUGUUGAGUUUCUACAUAUGAGACUGAUCCAUCAUCAUAUGAAAGAGAGCCAAAAAAGAGAACUCAUGAGGAAAAAUGGAGUUAAAAUGAACUCACUGCUCCAACCUAUUGCCUAAUUUGCCUAUAACCUCUCCCUUUUGCUUGAAUCUUUAUUAAAAACGUGAACCUCUCUCUCUUCAGAGGUCUGAAAGACACUUGCCACUGAUGAAGUCAAUCACUUUGGUAAUGGACUCAUCAAGUUGGGCAGUGACUGCAGCUAAAUUCUCCAAAAACUCCUCUGAGGUUGGUCUAUUUCCGUCCACAAUAUCAGUUACUCCUUUUAUUAAAAUCGUAGGAACCUUAAAAAUAUCAGCCACAUAGGCCACUGCUGCUCCCUGAAUUUUGUGGAGAUACCCAAUAUAAGCAGUUGCGACUGAUUAAAACACAUAGAUUGGAGCAAAAGGUUCAUGGAUUGUUUACCUCCAUGUCUUUAACUGUAGCAUCAUUUGCUGUGAUGGAUUCUUUGUCAUGUGGAGACAUAUCCAUAGAAUCACCAGUGGAUAAUCGUCCCACCUGUGAACAUCAAGAUGCUUCUUGCAGAAACUCUCCACGUUGUCUUCUAUUAUCUGCGGAAGCUCUCUAGACAGCGUGAAGUUUAUCCCUUGUUCCGUUAGCUUCCCAUCUAUCGUCUUCUCCGUGUCUGCACCAUGAAAAUGCAAUCCAUGUUUAGUCUAAGUUAUAGGUUACAAAGUAUCUUGUAGCUUUACCAGGCAGGAAGUUCUGAAUUGCAGUGUGAAGCUCAAAGAGAGGCUUCUCAAGAAUCGGAUCUGGAUCGGAUCCGAUGAUCAUAGCUCCGGCUCCAUCACCAAACAAGGCAACACCAACAAGAUCAUACGGUCUAUCAGCACUCGGAGGUUUGAACCCAAUGACGGUCGUCUCAGACGUGGCGAGAAGGACUCUACUCCCCGGAUUAUUCUCAGCUAUGUCUUUGGCUACACGGAGACCCGCAACGCCACCAGAACAGCCAACGAAGUAGAGC